GAGCGGCGGACGGGUGAGUAACGCGUGAGAAUCUACCCAUGAGUGGGGGACAACCCGGGGAAACUCGGGCUAAUACCGCAUACGCCCUACGGGGUAAAGCAGGGGACCUUCGGGCCUUGCGCUGAUGGAUGAGCUCGCGUCGGAUUAGCUUGUUGGUGAGGUAAAGGCUCACCAAGGCGACGAUCCGUAGCUGGUCUGAGAGGAUGAUCAGCCACACCGGGACUGAGACACGGCCCGGACUCCUACGGGAGGCAGCAGUGGGGAAUCUUGGACAAUGGGGGCAACCCUGAUCCAGCCAUGCCGCGUGUGUGAAGAAGGCCUUCGGGUUGUAAAGCACUUUCAGCAGGGAGGAAGGCUUACCCCUAAUACGGGUGAGUACUUGACGUUACCUGCAGAAGAAGCACCGGCUAAUUUCGUGCCAGCAGCCGCGGUAAUACGAAAGGUGCAAGCGUUAAUCGGAAUUACUGGGCGUAAAGCGCGCGUAGGCGGUGUGUUAAGUCGGAUGUGAAAGCCCAGGGCUCAAACCUUGGAAUUGCAUCCGAUACUGGCACGCUAGAGUGCAGUAGAGGGAGGUGGAAAUUUCCGGUGUAGCGAUGAAAUGCGUAGAGAUCGGAAGGAACACCAGUGGCG
This 630-nucleotide ribosomal RNA is filed under the name Alloalcanivorax venustensis. RNAcentral describes it as "bacterial SSU rRNA". It matches the Rfam family "Bacterial small subunit ribosomal RNA", at positions 93 to 717 of the family's 1533-position model. Lineage: Bacteria; Pseudomonadati; Pseudomonadota; Gammaproteobacteria; Oceanospirillales; Alcanivoracaceae. The record is from RNAcentral.